GAUGAAGAACGCAGCGAAAUACGAUAAGUAGUGUGAAUUGCAGAAUUCAGUGAAUCAUCGAAUCUUUGAACGCACAUUGCGCCCUUUGGUAUUCCUUAGGGCAUGCCUGUUCGAGCGUCAUUUAAACCUUCAAGCUAAGCUUGGUGUUGGGUGACUGUCCGCUUCACGGCGGACUCGCCUCAAAAUUAUUGGCGGCCGGUACAUUGGCUUCGAGCGCAGCAGAAACGCGAACUCGGGCCCGUCGUAUUGGCUCCCAGAAGCUAUCUUCACAAUUUUGACCUCGGAUCAGGUAGGGAUACCCGCUGAACUUAAGCAUAUCUAUAAGCGGAGGA
This 332-nucleotide unclassified non-coding RNA is filed under the name soil metagenome. RNAcentral's name for it is "partial contains 5.8S ribosomal RNA, internal transcribed spacer 2, and large subunit ribosomal RNA". The stretch from base 1 to 120 matches the Rfam family "5.8S ribosomal RNA", at positions 35 to 154 of the family's 154-position model. The record is from RNAcentral.